Manis javanica (Malayan pangolin) is the source of this 3129-nucleotide non-coding RNA. Lineage: Eukaryota; Metazoa; Chordata; Mammalia; Pholidota; Manidae. The record is from RefSeq and is a predicted model, not a curated record.
AGACGGGGGUCUGCUUCCUGGCUUUCUGAGAGUUACCUGAGUGACAGUUCAUUUUUCUGAACCAAGAAUGAUUCCUGGAGUCCAAGUUGAAAAGCAAAGGAUACAGAGAGAGCAAAGAGAAAUUCAAACGGGGGGAUGAGAGAGCAUGAGACAGAGGCGUGCAAGCAUCGGUGUGGGUGUGUGGUGCACAGGAAGGGACACACAGAGAUGUCAGGCCUGUGUGGGGAGGGGGGACUGUGCUGGUCAGAUGUCAUAGCCCAUCGUUUUAGGGCAUCUUUAAGUAAGAGGAUAAACCAGCUCCCCACCAGCUGCUUUUGGGCUUCAGGGCUGGUCCCCCGCACCCCCGCCACACCCUGGGCCAUCCCGAUGCCAGCCACCCAGGGGCAUGGGACCUGCUGUGAGGGUGGGAACGCUGACACCCUCAGCUCCAACGAAAGCUGACUAGGUUUUGUAACUGACAUUAGCAGCAUAAAGGGAUUAUUGGAAAAGAAUUUUACUCACCAUCCAUAAAAUCAGAGCUUUACCUACUCACAGCUAAUAAUUGAAAUCUUACACUACCCUCCCUACCAAUAAAUUUACUCAGACUAAUCUUGUUGAAUUAUUAAUUUCUCCCCAUAUGAGAAAUUGGCAAUAGUCUCCUAACCAGAGGUGACCGGUUCUGCAUUUCACUUUCUCUGUCUCGUCCUGAUGGGGCUGCUCCUUCUGCCCGUCCGUCGUCCUACGACGCAGCCCAGGCCCCCUCUCCUGCCCAGAGACCUCAGCUCCUGCAGCGCAAGGUGUUUGCUGUCACGCGCACGGAGACCCCGCAGCCGCUGAUUUGACUCCUAUCUGGCAUCAUUUCCCUUCACCUGAAGAACUUCUUUUAGUAUUUCUUAUAAUGCAGGUGUGCUGGACACAAACUCUAUCAUCUUAUCAAACCAGUGAGAAGUUGAGAAAGGCUACUUCCAUACGGCACUUUCACCUGUAAACCCCUUACUUAGAACUUCAUGCUGCCUAAGGGCUUCAAACUGAAGAUAUGUUCAGAUAAAAGCAAUUUCAAGCUUCUCUUUUCUAUUGACUUUGUGAUUCCAAAGAAUGAAAUUGGGAUUAACUAGAAGAAAAAAAACCCCUGAAGCAAUGAGGGUUCGAACACUAUCCAAGAUUAUUAAAUAAAUAAGGAAUUUCCUGGGAUUCACAGAAUUGCAGGGAAAGUCUGUAAAAAAAAGUCCUCAGUCACUGUCAGACAGCACACCUUUCCCAAGCCCAAAUCCUGUGUCAAGGAGGCUUUUAGGACUUUGUUCUGAAUUCCCCUACCUGUCUCAAGCCUUUCCAUCUCAUUCAGAAAUGAACUCUUAAAAUCUAGCAGGACACUAAAAGCGUCACUCAUCUAGCAGGACACUAAAAGUGUCACUCAUCUAGCAGGACACUAAAAGCGUCACUCAUCUAGCAGGACACUGAAAGCGUCACUCAUCUAGCAGGACACUGAAAGCGUCACUCAUCUAGCAGGACACUGAAAGUGUCACUCAUCUAGCAGGACACUGAAAGUGUCACUCAUCUAGCAGGACACUAAAAGCGUCACUCAUCUAGCAGGACACUAAAAGCGUCACUCAUCUAGCAGGACACUGAAAGUGUCACUCAUCUAGCAGGACACUGAAAGUGUCACUCAUCUAGCAGGACACUAAAAGCGUCACUCAUCUAGCAGGACACUAAAAGCGUCACUCAUCUAGCAGGACACUGAAAGCGUCACUCAUCUAGCAGGACACUAAAAGCGUCACCCAUCUAGCAGGACACUGAAAGUGUCACUCAUCUAGCAGGACACUAAAAGCGUCACUCAUCUAGCAGGACACUAAAAGCGUCACUCAUCUAGCAGGACACUGAAAGCGUCACUCAUCUAGCAGGACACUGAAAGUGUCACUCAUCUAGCAGGACACUGAAAGUGUCACUCAUCUAGCAGGACACUAAAAGCGUCACUCAUCUAGCAGGACACUAAAAGCGUCACUCAUCUAGCAGGACACUGAAAGUGUCACUCAUCUAGCAGGACACUGAAAGUGUCACUCAUCUAGCAGGACACUAAAAGCGUCACUCAUCUAGCAGGACACUAAAAGCGUCACCCAUCUAGCAGGACACUGAAAGCGUCACUCAUCUAGCAGGACACUAAAAGCGUCACCCAUCUCACACCAGAACCAUCCGCUUCUAACAACUGGCUCUCGAGACGCCGUCCCUUCCCCAUCCGCCUGUUAGACUGAGUGAAUUCUGCAUUCACACUCUCCUGACCCUGUAGCUGCACCUGCUUUGAGAAUGACAGCGAUCCCCAUUCACCUGCCAUCUCCCUUGCUUCUUCAAGUACCUCUAUCAACCCACAGCCUGUUUCCCCUGAUAUCGUUUCUUCUUGAUCUAAAGCUAUUUCUUGUGCUGACUCUGGCCAAAGACAUUUGAGCUGUCCCCUGUUCCUUUGCCUUUGGAAUGUGACGCCUACAUUUAGAUACCACUCAUUUUAAAAACUAUCUGAAAAGUUGUGAGACAUUCUUGCUUCACGCUGCUCAUUCAUCAAGUCAGAAAGUCAGAGACUAAGGAAUAACAAGCCAAGCACGAACCAAGGAAACUAAGCUUUACUUUAAGAAGCCCUAGAAACAGCACUGGUUAACCUCUUGCUCCUGGAACUCAGAGCACACUGCCUGGUGGUCUCCAGACAAGCAGCUUCCACGUCACCGGGGAGCUUACUCAGAACAGAGAAUCGACAGAACUCUCAUGAGCUGCCUUUGAACGAGAUCUGCCAGGGAUUGCAUGCAUGUUAGUCUGAGAAGUACUAGUUUCUAGAACAGAGCUUCCCAAAAGGUGAGCCAGGACACACUAGUGGGGGACGUACUCUGCAAGUUCUCCUUGGCCCUCAGGGCAGCCAGGAGGGGCUGUGGGGCUGGAGCCCCUCCUGGUUGCCUCUCCAGAGAGCCGCCCAUCCACUGACCUCAGUGUCGCUGGCAGGAGACGGUCAGAGCACCUGCAGAGGGGGCCGUGCUCUGAACUAAGUGCCCUCCAUACAAAGAUUUUCUUAGGUGUUUAAAAAGAUGUUUGUUGCCCAGAAUAGACACAGUAGGGCCAAAUUUGUCCCACAAACUAGUGAGCUGCCUCUAUUAAAGCAUCUCUGUAUCUUCA